This 2156-nucleotide ribosomal RNA is filed under the name Xylonaeus sp. MSC-2001. RNAcentral's name for it is "SSU rRNA". It matches the Rfam family "Eukaryotic small subunit ribosomal RNA". The record is from RNAcentral. Lineage: Eukaryota; Metazoa; Arthropoda; Insecta; Coleoptera; Histeridae.
CAUGUCUCAGUACAAGCCAAAUUAAGGUGAAACCGCGAAAGGCUCAUUAAAUCAGUUAUGGUUCCUUAGAUCGUACUCCCAGUUACUUGGAUAACUGUGGUAAUUCUAGAGCUAAUACAUGCUUAUAGAGCCCCGACCGGAGACGGAAGGGGUGCUUUUAUUAGAUCAAAACCGAAAGAUGGUGGUAAUGAUGAAUCUGUAUAACUUUUUGCUGAUCGCACGUUCUUGCAACGGCGACGUAUCUUUCAAAUGUCUGACUUAUCAACUGUCGAUGGUAGGCUCUGCGCCUACCAUGGUCGUAACGGGUAACGGGGAAUCAGGGUUCGAUUCCGGAGAGGGAGCCUGAGAAACGGCUACCACAUCCAAGGAAGGCAGCAGGCGCGCAAAUUACCCAUUUCCGGUACGGAGAGGUAGUGACGAAAAAUAACGAUACGGGACUCAUCCGAGGCCCCGUAAUCGGAAUGAGUACACUUUAAAUCCUUUAACGAGGAUCAAUUGGAGGGCAAGUCUGGUGCCAGCAGCCGCGGUAAUUCCAGCUCCAAUAGCGUAUAUUAAAGUUGUUGCGGUUAAAAAGCUCGUAGUCGAAUUUGUGUCUCGCGGCGUCGGUUCAUCGUUCGCGGUGUUAACUGACGUUUGUGUUUUAUUUAUAUUUUUUAUUCGCGGGACGUCAUGCCGGAUGGGCUUGCUCUGUUGUGCGUCUGCCUCGGUUAACGCAGUCUCUUAUGUAUUGGUGCGUUUGUGUGUAGUAUGUCCGUUUGUUUGUGCAACGUUUAUAGUGUUGUUGUAUGGGGUAUUAUGCUCUAUGCUCUCAUUAUUUAUUUUGCCUUACUGCCUGCUGCUACGUGCAUCGCAUUAUGUAUGUAUGUUGUACCAUUGUUUAGCCAAUGGGGCGGCACUUAUAUGGGGCGGUCCGACUUGUUAUUAUCAUAAUAUUAAUCCUGCCUAGGUGCCUUUAACCGGGUGUCGAGGUGGGCCGGCACGUUUACUUUGAACAAAUUAGAGUGCUUAAAGCAGGCUAAAAAUAUUGCCUGAAUACUAGUUGCAUGGAAUAAUGAAAUAGGACCUCGGUUCUAUUUUGUUGGUUUUCGGAACUUCCGAGGUAAUGAUUAAUAGGAACGGAUGGGGGCAUUCGUAUUGCGACGUUAGAGGUGAAAUUCUUGGAUCGUCGCAAGACGAACUUAAGCGAAAGCAUUUGCCAAAAACGCUUUCAUUGAUCAAGAACGAAAGUUAGAGGUUCGAAGGCGAUCAGAUACCGCCCUAGUUCUAACCAUAAACGAUGCCAGCUAGCGAUCCGCCGACGUUCCUCCGAUGACUCGGCGGGCAGCUUCCGGGAAACCAAAGCUUUUGGGUUCCGGGGGAAGUAUGGUUGCAAAGCUGAAACUUAAAGGAAUUGACGGAAGGGCACCACCAGGAGUGGAGCCUGCGGCUUAAUUUGACUCAACACGGGAAAACUCACCAGGCCCGGACACUGGGAGGAUUGACAGAUUGAUAGCUCUUUCUUGAUUCAGUGGGUGGUGGUGCAUGGCCGUUCUUAGUUGGUGGAGCGAUUUGUCUGGUUAAUUCCGAUAACGAACGAGACUCUAGCCUGUUAAAUAGGCGCUUUUCGGCAUAUUUAAGGCCAGCCGAUUAUAAGAUGUGUAUGUUAAGAGAUGAUGUGUGUCUGAUGUGUUUUAUUUUGUUUAUUAUUUUUUUAUCUUACAAUGAGAGAUUUUAUGUUUGUAUACUUUAUUGAUUGUAUGCAAUGUUCUAUUGUCGCGCGCGGUUUUUACUGCCGGCGUGAAAUUAAUUCUUCUUAGAGGGACAGGCGGCGUUUAGCCGCACGAGAUUGAGCAAUAACAGGUCUGUGAUGCCCUUAGAUGUUCUGGGCCGCACGCGCGCUACACUGAAGGAAUCAGCGUGUUUUCCCUGGCCGAAAGGUCCGGGUAACCCGAUGAAACUCCUUCGUGAUAGGGAUUGGGGCUUGUAAUUUUUCCCCAUGAACGAGGAAUUCCCAGUAAGCGCGAGUCAUAAGCUUGCGUUGAUUACGUCCCUGCCCUUUGUACACACCGCCCGUCGCUACUACCGAUUGAAUGAUUUAGUGAGGUCUUCGGAUUGGUGCGCGUCGGCGCUUCGGCGUCGAGCGAUUGCGCCGAGAAGAUGACCAAACUUGAUUAUUU